This 1482-nucleotide ribosomal RNA is filed under the name uncultured Bordetella sp. Its description in RNAcentral is "partial 16S-23S ribosomal RNA intergenic spacer". It matches the Rfam family "Bacterial small subunit ribosomal RNA". Lineage: Bacteria; Pseudomonadati; Pseudomonadota; Betaproteobacteria; Burkholderiales; Alcaligenaceae. The record is from RNAcentral.
AGUUUGAUUCUGGCUCAGAUUGAACGCUGGCGGGAUGCUUUACACAUGCAAGUCGAACGGCAGCACGGACUUCGGUCUGGUGGCGAGUGGCGAACGGUGAAAACGGUCGAACGUGCCUAGUAGCGGGGGAUGGAACGCCAAAAAGAAAGUAGCUAAUACCGUAUACGCUCCCCGGGGGAAAGCGGGACCUUCGGGCCUCGCACUAUUAGAGCGCACGGCCGAUAUCGGAUUAGCUUAGUUGGUGGGGUAACGGCUCACCAAGGCGACGAUCCGCAGCUGGUUUGAGAGGACGACCAGCCACACUGGGACUGAGACACGGCCCAGACUCCUACGGGAGGCAGUGGGGAAUUUUGACAAUGGGGAAACCCCUGAUCCAGCCAUCCCGCGUGUGUGCGAUGAAGGCCUCGGGUUGUAAAGCACUUUUGGCAGGAAAGAAACGGCACGGGAUAAUACCCUGCCAGUGCAACUGACGGUACCUGCAGAAUAAGCACCGGCUAACUACGUGCCAGCAGCCGCGGUAAUACGUAGGGUGCAAGCGUUAAUCGGAAUUACUGGGCGUAAAGCGUGCGCAGGCGGUCUGGAAAGAGUAGACAGAAAUCCCAGAGUUUAAUCUUGGAACUGCAUUUUUAACUACCGAGCUAGAGUGUGUCAGAGGGAGGUGGAAUUCCGCGUGUAGCAGUGAAAUGCGUAGAUAUGCGGAGAACACCGAUGGCGAAGGCAGCCUCCUGGGAUAAUGACUACGACGCUCACGCGAAAGUGGGGAGCAAACAGGAUUAGAUACCCUGGUAGUCCACGCCCUAAACGAUGUCAACUAGCUGUUGGGGCCUUCGGGCCUUGGUAGCGCAGCUAACGCGUGUUGACCGUCUGGGGAGUACGGUCGCAAGAUUAAAACUCAAAGGAAUUAAUGGGACCCGCGGCCAAAGCGGUGGAUGAUGUGAUUAAUUCGAUGCAACGCGAAAACCUUACCUAAUUCUUGACAUGUCUGGAAUCCCGAAGAGAUUUGGGAGUGCUCGCAAGAGAACCGGAACACAGGUGCCAGCUGGCUGCUCGCCGCUCGUGUCGUGAGAUGUUGCAUGCGAGUCCGCAACGAGCGCGCAACCUCUUGUCAUUAGUUGCUACGAAAGUAGCACGGAAUGAGACUUGCCGGUGACAAACCGGAGGAAGGUGGGGAUGACGUCAAGUCCUCAUGGCCCUUAUGGGUAGGGCUUCACACGUCAUACAAUGGUCGGGACAGAGGUGGCCAACCCGCGAGGGGAGCCAAUCCCAGAAACCCGAUCGUAGUCCGGAUCGCAGUUCGCAACUCGACUGCGUGAAGUCGGAAUCGCUAGUAACGCGGAUCAGCAUGUCGCGCAGGGCUGUUCCCGGGUUCUGUACACACCGCCCGUCACACCAUGGGAGUGGGUUUCAGAAGUAGUUAGCCUAACCGUAAGGAGGGCGAUUACCACGGUAGGAUUCAUGACUGGGGUGAAGUCGUAACAAGGU